Molecule: long non-coding RNA, 806 nt
Organism: Hydra vulgaris (swiftwater hydra)
Lineage: Eukaryota; Metazoa; Cnidaria; Hydrozoa; Anthoathecata; Hydridae
Source: RefSeq, a predicted model, not a curated record
AAUGUCCUUUAGUUUUGUUAAAUGUGUUUAAAUGUAAAUAAUAGCAUCUUUUUACAUAAACAGGCAUCCUUAUGUUAUUAAUUUUUUUGCAAAAACAAAUAAGAGUUCAAAAUAAAAAUUUUAAUUUAUGAAAAGAGAAGAAGUAGGAAAAGUAUUUUUAAUUCAACAUUUACUGAGUGAAUCAGGAGAAGAAGUGUUGGUAAUUUAUUUUAAAACAGAUAGUAUCACGAGAAGAAGUGGUAAGAGUAAUAAAAUUCUUUCAUUCAACAUUACGAAUUGAAUUACGAGAAGAAGUGGUUGCAAUUAAUUUAAAACAUAUUGCAUCACGAGAAGAAUAGGAAAAAUAUUGCUAUACUUAAGUAUCAAGAUUAAAAUACUGAUGUACUGUUAAACUGAAGGUGGUAAUAAAGUUUACAAAGUUUGCUCUGACCGAAUUUUUCAAUGAAAAAACAAUAUGUGUGCUAUGAAUGUAAUCUGUUUUUCAUGGCGCAUCAAUGAAAGUUUGGUGUAUUGGCCAAAUCACUUGCAAGCAUCUUGCCUUUAAACUGCCAUACAUAAAGUCACGCUUUUGAAAUAACUGAAAGCAGCUGAAUAUAAGAAUUUUUUGAUGAACUUUCUUACUUCGGUUAGAGGAGAUGAGAAACAGCUUACAGCGGCAAUCUUAAUACAGCUAAUGGCCAAAGAAGUAUGUUUUUCAUACUCAGUGUAUGGAAUGAAACAAAAACGUCCUGCAAGGUCGUUAUAGAGUUGCGUUUAGUCGUUUAUCGUUAUAUUCGUUCAUUUCGAAAUCGCUACUGACAAAAGUA